GCUGGUAAAAGAGAACCAGAUC
Molecule: microRNA, 22 nt
Filed under: Scyliorhinus torazame (cloudy catshark)
Lineage: Eukaryota; Metazoa; Chordata; Chondrichthyes; Carcharhiniformes; Scyliorhinidae
Description: Sto-Mir-133-P4-v1_5p* (star (passenger))
Source: RNAcentral